This 1635-nucleotide ribosomal RNA is filed under the name Staphylococcus aureus M0159. Its description in RNAcentral is "bacterial LSU rRNA". It matches the Rfam family "Bacterial large subunit ribosomal RNA", at positions 623 to 2259 of the family's 2925-position model. The record is from RNAcentral. Lineage: Bacteria; Bacillati; Bacillota; Bacilli; Caryophanales; Staphylococcaceae.
GCGAGUUACGAUUUGAUGCAAGGUUAAGCAGUAAAUGUGGAGCCGUAGCGAAAGCGAGUCUGAAUAGGGCGUUUAGUAUUUGGUCGUAGACCCGAAACCAGGUGAUCUACCCUUGGUCAGGUUGAAGUUCAGGUAACACUGAAUGGAGGACCGAACCGACUUACGUUGAAAAGUGAGCGGAUGAACUGAGGGUAGCGGAGAAAUUCCAAUCGAACCUGGAGAUAGCUGGUUCUCUCCGAAAUAGCUUUAGGGCUAGCCUCAAGUGAUGAUUAUUGGAGGUAGAGCACUGUUUGGACGAGGGGCCCCUCUCGGGUUACCGAAUUCAGACAAACUCCGAAUGCCAAUUAAUUUAACUUGGGAGUCAGAACAUGGGUGAUAAGGUCCGUGUUCGAAAGGGAAACAGCCCAGACCACCAGCUAAGGUCCCAAAAUAUAUGUUAAGUGGAAAAGGAUGUGGCGUUGCCCAGACAACUAGGAUGUUGGCUUAGAAGCAGCCAUCAUUUAAAGAGUGCGUAAUAGCUCACUAGUCGAGUGACACUGCGCCGAAAAUGUACCGGGGCUAAACAUAUUACCGAAGCUGUGGAUUGUCCUUUGGACAAUGGUAGGAGAGCGUUCUAAGGGCGUUGAAGCAUGAUCGUAAGGACAUGUGGAGCGCUUAGAAGUGAGAAUGCCGGUGUGAGUAGCGAAAGACGGGUGAGAAUCCCGUCCACCGAUUGACUAAGGUUUCCAGAGGAAGGCUCGUCCGCUCUGGGUUAGUCGGGUCCUAAGCUGAGGCCGACAGGCGUAGGCGAUGGAUAACAGGUUGAUAUUCCUGUACCACCUAUAAUCGUUUUAAUCGAUGGGGGGACGCAGUAGGAUAGGCGAAGCGUGCGAUUGGAUUGCACGUCUAAGCAGUAAGGCUGAGUAUUAGGCAAAUCCGGUACUCGUUAAGGCUGAGCUGUGAUGGGGAGAAGACAUUGUGUCUUCGAGUCGUUGAUUUCACACUGCCGAGAAAAGCCUCUAGAUAGAAAAUAGGUGCCCGUACCGCAAACCGACACAGGUAGUCAAGAUGAGAAUUCUAAGGUGAGCGAGCGAACUCUCGUUAAGGAACUCGGCAAAAUGACCCCGUAACUUCGGGAGAAGGGGUGCUCUUUAGGGUUAACGCCCAGAAGAGCCGCAGUGAAUAGGCCCAAGCGACUGUUUAUCAAAAACACAGGUCUCUGCUAAACCGUAAGGUGAUGUAUAGGGGCUGACGCCUGCCCGGUGCUGGAAGGUUAAGAGGAGUGGUUAGCUUCUGCGAAGCUACGAAUCGAAGCCCCAGUAAACGGCGGCCGUAACUAUAACGGUCCUAAGGUAGCGAAAUUCCUUGUCGGGUAAGUUCCGACCCGCACGAAAGGCGUAACGAUUUGGGCACUGUCUCAACGAGAGACUCGGUGAAAUCAUAGUACCUGUGAAGAUGCAGGUUACCCGCGACAGGACGGAAAGACCCCGUGGAGCUUUACUGUAGCCUGAUAUUGAAAUUCGGCACAGCUUGUACAGGAUAGGUAGGAGCCUUUGAAACGUGAGCGCUAGCUUACGUGGAGGCGCUGGUGGGAUACUACCCUAGCUGUGUUGGCUUUCUAACCCGCACCACUUAUCGUGGUGGGAGACAGUGUCA